GAAAACAUUGGUCUAGAAAGGAAAACGGUGAUAUAGCAGUACAAUAUUGAUAACCUUGCUUCAAGUAAGGUAUCCAGUUUGCUGGGCCGAGAGGAAACCGAAGAACUCAGAGAAAACAUGCAACUAUAAUCCUUGUCAGCCCUGUUUAUACAUGUAUAUAUGAAGAGGAAUAUAUAUGGUUUUCUGUUGACUUCGCUCUGAAUGGAAAGUUUUAUGAUAAAAAGUGUUUUUAUUGAGGUAGUAAAAUAUAUAUGGCUAUGUUCCAAAUAAACUCACUAUAGUGUGUAUAAAGAGGUUUAGUUCAAAUAUUUGACUUGAUUUUAGUGAAGAGAAGAAAGUAGAAAGUAAAGACUAAUUGUCUACUUGUAGAAGAGAUGAAUGGUUAUAUUAGUCGAGAGGAGAAGAGUAUCUGACAACACAGUUCGUCAACACAUAUAAUUACAAGAAAUACUCAAAACACUCUGCCAACAUGCAUCAAAACAUGAGUGAACUACAUUUUAUUAUGUAGAUCUGAGCAGAACUAUUAUUAUAACAAAAAGAAAUUAUAUAAGACAUUCAUUACAAUACUGGACCAAUAGCGCAGAAAAUAUUGAGCAGUUCAAAAAGAAAUCAUAUAGAAUGCAUAUUCUAUUUACU
This is a long non-coding RNA of Patella vulgata (common limpet), 636 nucleotides long. RefSeq lists it as uncharacterized. NCBI's taxonomy places the organism in Eukaryota, Metazoa, Mollusca, Gastropoda, Patellidae. The record is from RefSeq and is a predicted model, not a curated record. The transcript is spliced from 3 exons.